Amborella trichopoda is the source of this 1280-nucleotide non-coding RNA. The record is from RefSeq and is a predicted model, not a curated record. Lineage: Eukaryota; Viridiplantae; Streptophyta; Magnoliopsida; Amborellales; Amborellaceae.
UAUGGGGCUUCGUACGACAACAGUUGAGAUGGUUUUUCCCGAUCGUCUUCAUUUUAAAUCCCAAAGCUCUAUAUUACAGCAUUGAAAAGAUGUGGCACCAGAGAGCAGCGUCCCGUCUCGCCCUCUCGCGCGAUGGGAACUCUCUCCUUCCAUCUCCCUCGCACCUCUCUCUCUCUCCAUCUCCCGCCCACCUCUAUCUCAAACCCUAUGGCUGGCCCCUCUCUCUCAAACCCUCUGGCUGCCCCUCUCUCUCAAACUCUCUAAAACUCGCCCCUCUUUCAAUCUCUCCCCUGCCUACCCUUCUCAGCCCCUCUAUAUACACCUCUCGUUGCCCAUCCCUCUAAUUUUGGGGUUUUGUUUGUUUUGGGUUUUGGUGGUCGGGUACAGUUACAAAGCCAACUGAUGAUGUCCCAACAGCCCAGAAGCUCGAAACCGCAAUGGCAAGAAUUCUGGGUAAUCUCUCGUUGCCCAUCUCUCUCAAUCUCCCUCUAUGCCCCCCUCCCCCCCCCUAAAACGCAAAAUUUCUGAAAUUCUAUAUGCUCUAUUGUUGUUGCAAACGCGAUUGGAACAAUCUUCGGUGGAUUUGAGACGAUAUUUGCAAACCUCUACUUAUGUGGUUAGGUUUUUUAUGUACGGUCAGUUGAAAGAUUUUUAUGGACCGCACCAUAUCAGUCGAUGUGACAUCUUCCCCGUGCCCAAUUGUAGACAGCACGAAUGCCACCAUUGAGACCAUGGAGCAGGUUCCUCAUCUUUCAAAAAUGCGAGAUGGGGAACUUGACUCAUCAACCAAUGGCCUACAAAUAGAAGAACCAUAUGUAGGGAUGAAGUUUGGUUAUGAGAAUGAGGCAUAUGAGUAUUAUAAGGAGUAUGCAUUAGCCAAAGGUUUUGGCACCCGUAAGGGGACUACCCACAAUAAAGAUGGUCAAAGGAUUGAUAGAGAGCUCAAUUGUAAUAAGGAAGGGUUUCGCCGAGAGAAAGAUCGAGUUGAGUGCAACGAAGUGAUCUGAAAUUGGUGGAAAGCAACUGCCUGAUGGCGAAUAUUGGAGCUGACAAUGUUUUGGGCUACUCAUGUGUGUUAUAGAACAUGAAUAUGAGUUGAAAUACAGUGUGGUUUUGUGUGUUGCAUUGGGUACAACACAGAUCCAUUGGGAUUCUAUUUUACUUGUACAGUUGUGUGUUGCAUUUUGUAUGCUGCUGAAUUUUGUAUGCUUACUGAAUUUUGUAUGUUCACAGAUAUCACUACCACUAAUGUAGGCUUGCUACUGAAUUUUGAAUGCUUG